ACUAUUGGUCUUAUCCUCCACUCUGCACUUUUAACACCAUACUUUUCAUGGAAAUAAACUCAUCGUCGUCACCACUCCAACACUAGUUCCCUUGAGUAUGAUGAAGUGUAUGUGCCAAGCCUAAAAUCCCAAGUAACGUGGCUCACCAAGUAUUUGAACAAAAAUCCACUAGGACGAGUAUUCGGACUUGCCACCACCCUCAAUCUUGGGUGGCCUUUGUACUUGGCCUUCAAUGCCUCUGGCAGAACUUAUCCUCGCUAUGCAAGUCACUAUCAUCCACAUGGACCGAGUUAUUAUGAUCGCGAGAGGCUACAAAUCUAUACUUCAGAUGCAGGUGUGAUUGCAACUACUUAUGUGUUGUAUCGCAUUGCUUUGGCACAAGGGCUAACUUGGCUUGUAUGUAUCUAUGGAGUGCCCCUCCAAAUUAUGAACAACUUCAUCGUGUUAAUCACUCUCUUGAACCAUACUCACUCUUCCGUGCCACAUUAUGAUUCAUCAGAGUGGGAUUGGCUAAGAGGAGCUCUAGCUACGGUAGACAGAGACUUUGGUGUACUAAAUAAGGUCUUCCACCACAUUCCAGAUACUCACGUUUUGCAUCAUCUAUUCUCAACGAUUCCACAUUACCACGGACUCGAGGCAACCAGAGCUAUCAAGCCAUUACUAGGAGAAUACUACCAAUUUGAUAGUACCCCUUUUUAUAAGGCAUUAUGGAGGGAUUAUAAGGAGUGCAUCUAUGUAGAAAAGGAUGAAAGAUUUCAAGAUAGAGGUAUUUUUUGGUAUAAAAACGAGAUGAAUUAAAAAUCGAUUUGGAUAACAUGAGUCACAAUAAGUAUUUUGAACUGAGGUCUCUUUAUAGUUUGUUAGGAUUGUUGUUUCCUAUCGUUCUAUUAUGUAUUGUUUUCAUACCGUACUAUAUUUGUAUUACAUUAUGUGAUUGAAAUACAAUGUUUUGAGUGAAUGUUUGAAAAAUCAACUUGAAGUAUAUUAAGAGGCUUGCUCAGUAAAUAGCAUCAUUGUAUGUAUGGGGUUAAUAAUGAAGGAAUCUAAACCACAUGGAGCCAUCAAGAAUACAUAUGGCCUCUUUAGUUUACUACUAGUUUAUACGAAUUUAUUUUCAGAUCUAAUCAACCUCCAAAUUAAGGAUGCAAGGGGAAUUUUUUUCCAUACUUAAUCAGAGGUCUCGAGUUUGAGCUAUGAGAAUAGAGAAAUUCUUGAUAAGGAACGCUUCUAAGUUAAAUGGAUGGUAGUGAGCCUGGGAAUCUAGAUUAGUCAAAACCGAGUUCCGAAUAUCAGAUGGUAAAUUAAAAAAGAAAAAAGAGUUGGCCAGACCUCUAUUUUUCUAUAAAGAAGAGAGAACUCUCUAACUUUCAGGUAAGGCUAAAAGGUGUGUUUUGAACUUUUGAGGUAUUUCCCUUUUUACCAAAAACCUAUCUUUACUCUCAUUUUCUUGUUCUAUUUACUAGUACUAUUUUUCGACUUCUCACAACAAAUUUAAUUGUUGCUUUCUCAGGUUUGAAGACAAAAAUGGGAGGCGGUGGCAAUAUGUUUGCUCCAACAGCUAAACAGAACAAAGAAAAAUCCUCUCGAAAGAGUGCCAAGUUCAAAGUCCCCUUUUACAGUUGGUGAUAUCAAGAAGGCUAUCCCACCUCACUGCUUUCAUCGAUCUCUCAUUCGCUCCUCCUCCUAUCUUGUUCAAGAUCUCAUGCUUGUCUCCGUCUUUUAUUAUAUUGCCUCCUCUUACUUCCACAUCCUUCCAUCACCGUAUUAUUAUUUCAUGGAUUGUUCAAGGUUGUGUUUGCACCGGAAUAUGGGUCAUUGCCCAUGAAAUGUGGCCAUCAGGCAUUUAGUGAUUACCAGUGGAUAAAUGACACUGUCGGUUUUUAUCUUCCACUCUGCACUUUUAACACCAUAUUUCUCAUGGAAAUAUAGUCAUCGUCGUCACCACUCCAACACUAAUUCCCUUGAGCAUGAUGAAAAUCAUAUGCCAAAGCUUAAAACCAAACUUAGAUGGUACACCAAAUUAUACAUGAAUAAUCCACUAGGACGAUUACUCAUACUUGCCUUCACCCUCACUGCUGGCAUGCCUUUGUACUAUGCCAUCAAUAUAGCUGGUAGACCUUAUGAUCGCUUUGCAAGUCAUUAUGAUCCAUAUAGCCCUAUUUACAAUGAUCGUGAGAGACUACAAAUCUACAUUUCAGAUGCAGGUCUGAUUGCAACUAUUUAUGUAUUGUAUCGCGUUGCUCUGACACAAGGGCUAACUUGGGUUGUAUGCAUCUAUGGGGUGCCCUUACUAAUUGUGAUCGGGUUCAUGGUGUUAAUAACUUUACUACAUCACACUCAUGCUUCAUUGCCACAUUAUGAUUCAUCGGAGUGGAGUUGGCUAAGAGGAGCUCUAGCUACAGUAGAUAGAGACUAUGGGGUUCUAAAUAAGGUGUUUCAUCAUAUAGUAGAUACACACGUUCUACAUCAUCUAUUUUCAAGUAUACCACAUUAUCAUGCUAUGGAGGCAACCAAGGCCAUCAAGCCAUUACUAGGAGAAUAUUAUCAAUUUGAUGGAACUCCAUUUUACAAAGCAAUAUGGAGGGAUUUUGAGUGCAUCUACGUCGAGAAAGAUGAUGAAGCAUCUCAGGGAAAGGGUAUUUUCUGGUAUAAAAACAACUUCUAAAUUUGAAAUAGCAAUAAAAGGCUAAAUGUUCAGCCUAAGUAUUGUGGAUUGUGUCUUUUCAUAGUAUUGUAUUUGUAGUGUUACUUUAGAUUUAUUGUUAAGCAUCUAAGAAAAUGUCUUUUUUAUGAAUGUAAACAAGCAACAACAGGGGUUGUUUAGGCGGUAAACACCCUCGAGGCCCCGAGGAGCAAAAAAACAAUUUAUGCAAAUACAUUGUUAAGAAUCGCAACCACGAAGCAUAAUCCAUCAUAUCAAGCCAGAAAUGAGGGAUAUAUACAAGCAAAUUAAACUUCUAAUAUACAUAUAUAUCCCACAUAUUAGAUAUAAACUGAAUGAAUACAUACUACAACAAAGAGACAUUUAGUGGCAACAUAUUACACCUUUAGUGACAAUAUUUACUGCCGCAAGAAUAUAUAAUUUCAAUUGAGUUAAUGUCAUUAUAUCAUGUGUCGUUAAAGUCUUUAGCAACAUUUACAUAGAGUGUUGAUUAAUUAUAAAACUCAUACUAUUAUUGGCGCUAAAUGUAAUAAUGUAGAGAUAGUUAUAUUAUCAUCGUCAUAAUUGUUGCCGGCAAAAAUAUUGUUGUAACAGUGUACAAGACUAUAUUUUUAAACAACUCACCCCUUCACUAAAUUAUAAUUCUUGAAUCUUUUUUUUUAAUUAUAUAAAUCAAAUAUAUUUUAAUUUUAGGAAUUUUAAACAAUAUCCUUCUCCCAAUUUUAAUAAUUAAAUGACAAACCUAUUUCAUUGUUUAAUAUAGCAUGGGUAAUAAAUAAUUCAUAUGCAAAAAUAAAAUAAUAUAAUCUUUGUCCUCAACUCGAAAACGUAUUUUUUAUGAUGUCUAGGCGUGCACUGGACAGGAACAACAUGAAAUAAUUAUUUUUAUCAAUAUAUUACUCUACUAAAUUAUUAACCUAUAGACACCACCACGUGAAUUCAGUCGAGUAGUUAGUUCUAGUAUUAGCGCCUCAUAUAUAGAAAUAGAAUAUAAUAAUAACUAAAGUUAAACGAUUAAAAAAAUAUAUAUUUUAAAAAACGCACUUGUUAUAUAAUUAUUAAAAGAUAAAUAUUUUGGCAUUACCAGCUUAAGUGAUCCACUAAACAAGCCAAUCAUAUGAAGUUGAAGCAUCUGGUUGCUCAAUGGAUAAGUUAAAAUUAAGUAUUAGUACAUUUUAAUUAAACUGACAGUUUAAAGUUUAUAUAUCUCUAUAUAUUUUGCCAUUGUGGGAGCUCUAACUUUAUUCCAUUUUUGGAUAUUACACAAUACUAAGGUCAUUUUGUUUAGAGAAAUUUUUCGUAAAUAGUGAUAUUUGCACUUAUGGAAAAUAGCAAGGUUUUAUUUAAUUACAAAACGUCUAGUCAUAAUUUGGUAUCAAAAUGUUGCGGAAUACAUUGAAUUUACAUUGAACACUGUAAAUGUGGGAUCACAUAAUAAUGACACGAUGGUAUAAUUUUUGUUUAUAUCAACAUAUAUAAUUUAAACUCUGUUUUAUAAUAUUAUUUAUCUACAUUAAUAGGUAAUUACUUAUAAUAAACAUGGUUAUAAUAAUGAUGGAACUGGAAUCUAAAGCACAUGGUCAAAAUCACUAGGGGACAAUUAUCAAUUAUUAUUAUUAUUAUUAUUAUCAAUUAUUAUUAUUAUUAUUAAUAUUAUUAUCAAUUAUUAUUAUUAUUAUUAUUAUUUAUUAUUUAUUAUUAUUAUUAUAUUAUUAUUAUUAUUAUUAUUAUUAUUAUUUUGGCCCCAUAUCUGAAUCUGUACUUCAUUACUCCUAUUUCUUAAAUAACUCUACCUGCCGUGUCAUUUAUUGAUCUCCCAUUAUUAAUGAACCAAUAAAAUUAGGCAAGCCAGUAGCAAAUACAUUUUGGUAUAUGGAGUACUACAAAACAUUUUCCUGUUUUUGGUUGUUUUACAUUUCUUUUUAAUAUACUUUUUAAAAUGUCUCUUUUCUUUUUAGAUAACUUUUUUUUUUUAUGACAGGUUUAAAACCAAAUGAUUAAAGGACAUUUUGAUAUAUUAAACAUAUAUUUUACUUAAGACUACAAAAUUCAAUUUUUUUUUUUACUUUCGUAAACUCUAUGUCAAGUUAAAUAGGACAAACGAAUUAAAAUUGAGAGGGUAUAAAAUAAUAAUGGUACAAUAAAUUGUAUCGUUUUGUUUCGUGUUUGGUUAUCUAUUUUUAAUUAUAGAAUAUAUAUAGUUAUAUUGUAAAAUUCUCUGUAUUAUUUUUAUACCAAAUUCAAUGCGAUAGAACAAUUCUAGGAUUAGCUAUGUAUGACAAGUGAGACUUGCUCAAGUGGUUGGGCGUCUUCACUAUCAACUGGUAGAUUGAGAUUUGAGGGUUCGAGUUAUACUAAAGGAUAAAGUAAGAACAUUCUUUUUGUGUAGGGUAGCUUAGGGAGAAAAAAAACAGUAUUUCACUUUUAGGUGAUUUAUGAACAGUUAGAAAAAAAUCUUACUUUUUAGGCUACUUAUGAGUCAUCAUGGAAACUCGAAUUUCUUAUAGUAUUUGUGUGCGUGUGUAGUUUGCUUUAGAAGAUAUCAGAGCGAAAUUUUACAUGAAAACACCUUUGAAUAUGAAGGAAUGCUAUACAUAGAUGUCAAAGUAAACCAUGAUUAAAAGAGUAUUUUGGACAUUACAACAAUGUGUUUGUGCUUGUGAGUUACUAUAUAGGGAUAAGUCGUAUUGUUCUUAUUUUGAAAACUUAUCCUUUCGGAUCACAAUAUGUUUGUUCAUACAUUGCUCAACCUUACCGACAAAAUAUUAAAUUUCGUCCAAUGUUUAUAAUAACUAACAAAUUUCAGUUUGUUCAAAAGAAAUCUUUAAAUCAUAAUUUAAAAGGUCCCUAAUUUACGGUAUGAAUAAAAAGAGGGUCAUUUACUAUUAAGUUGUCUCUAAAAGGGACAACCCAAGAAAAUUACACAAAAGCAAUCAAACCCGGCCUUGAUUCCAAGUCCAUUUUGACAGCUCUACUUCAAACCUUUUUCCCAAAGUACACAAACCAAAAUUAGCUAAAACAUGAUUACCAAAACAUAUAUUGGAUCUCAUUAUACAUUUGUUAAUCAGACUACUGCACAAGUUAAGAUAAAAUUGAAAUCUUUACACACAACAAUUAAUGUGCAUGAAGCUGCCAAGCCAUUGAUGAACUAAUAAAAUUGGCAAUGUGAGUCCCACAUAUAGCCAUUAUAUACACACACACACAUUAUUUUCACAAAGUGAGAAACCACUCAAUAAGCAUUUGAUCUCUUUCUCUUUUUCCUAGAGAAUAGAGUAAGACUUUAAUAUCGUUCGUUUGUUAGAAUUAAACGCUUAUUAUCAUAUGAACGAAAAUGGGAGGCGGUGGCAAUAUGUCUUCUCGAACAACUAAAGAUUCAAAAAAGAAAAAUCCUCUCGAAAGAGUUCCAUCUUCGAAACCUCCUUUUACAGUUGGUGACCUCAAGAAGGCCAUUCCUCCUCACUGUUUUCAACGAUCUCUCAUUCGCUCGUUUUCCUAUGUUAUUCAGGAUCUCAUACUUGUCUCCGUCUUCUAUUAUAUUGCCACCACUUACUUCCACCUCAUUCCUUCCCCGUAUAAUUAUCUAGCAUGGUCUGCUUACUGGAUCGUUCAAGGUUGUGUUUGUACCGGAAUAUGGGUCAUUGGCCAUGAGUGUGGUCACCAUGGCUUUAGUGAUUACCAAUGGGUAGAUGACAUUGUUGGCUAUAUCCUCCACUCUGCCCUUUUAACACCCUACUUUGCAUCGAAACAUAGUCAUCGUCGUCACCAUGCCAACACAGGUUCCCUUGAGAAUGAUGAAGUUUACUUACCUAGUUUUAAAUCAAAACUAAGAUGGUACUAUAAAUACUUGAACAAUCCACUAGGACGAGUACUCGUACUUGCCUUCACCCUCACUUUUGGCUGGCCUUUAUACUUGAUGUUCAAUAUCUCCGGCAAAAAAUAUGACCGUUUUGCAUGUCAUUACGAUCCAUAUAGCCCAAUAUAUACUGACCGUGAAAGGCUACAAAUCUACAUCUCAGAUGCAGGUAUUCUUGCAACAACUUAUGUGUUGUAUCGCGUUGCUUUGACACAAGGGGUAACUUGGCUUGUAUGCAUCUAUGGAGUGCCCCUUGUAAUUAUGAAUGGAUUUAUAGUUUUGAUAACUUUGUUACACCACACUCACGCUUCAUUGCCACAUUAUGAUUCAUCGGAGUGGGAUUAUCUAAGAGGGGCUCUAGCUACGGUAGAUAGAGACUAUGGUGUGCUAAAUAAGGUGUUUCACAAUGUUACAGAUACUCAUGUUUUGCAUCAUAUAUUCUCAUACAUAUCACAUUACCAUGCAAUGGAGGCAACUAACGCUAUCAAACCGUUGCUUGGUGAAUACUAUCAAGUUGAUGAUACCCCAAUUUUAAAGGCACUGUGGAGGGAUACCAAGGAUUGCAUCUAUGUUGAAAAAGAUAGAGGUUCUCAUCAAGGCAAAGGUGUUUACUGGUAUAAAAAUAAGCUUUGAAAUUAAGUAGAAUACCAUUACUUGGAAUUGGUUAAAUGUUACUACUAUUGUAUUGUUUAUGUCCAUCGUUACAUUAAUAAAGAUUCCUGGUUCUCUAUGUUGUCUUCGAUUUGGAAAUUCUUUAUUCAUGAGUUCACUCUGAUAUUGUAUACUCCCGAUUAUUUGAAGAAAUUAAAUGUACAAUUCGAUAAUAGAUACAUCAGUGGUUCAGUUAAUUAGUCUAUUGAUGUAACUAUAAGAAGAAAAUAAAAUGUUCAUUUUUAACCAGGCCAAGUAUCUGUUGGAUUGUCAAAAGGCAUCUCUGAAGAAGCAUAAGCUUGACCUCCGAGUACCCGAUUCAGACUAGCAACUGAAGAGAUGUUAAUAACAGAUCCUCUACACUCUAUUAACAUCUUAAUUUCAUCAGCCAUAUAUAGUGUUGGCAGCUUAACUCCUUUUUAUCCAUGUUAAAUUUGAAAAUUAUUAGUAUACAUUAUUUGAGUUGUAAAUCAAAUCGAUUCAUAUGUAUAAAUGUAGUAGUCGUAAAUAGAUUUAUUCUUCACCAGUGAAACAUAUAGUAGUAUUUUUCUAACAGUUGUGUACUCUACUAUAAGAAAUACGUAGUAUGUUGUGAACCCGAUGUGACUUGGUAAGGGCCUAUGGGCUAUUAGAUACUUUUAUUUGGGGAUCCAGGCCCAAUUAGUGUCUCUAUUAAAAAGGACUAGAAGUUAGAAGAAGGGGCCUGGAAAUUAUGUGAAGCUUUGGCUUUCUGAUCCUCUCAUCUCCUUUCUAUGGUCUAGUAUCUCAUCCCCUUCUAGUUACCUUCGUCUAUGUUAAGCUAUUCGUAAUUAGUGUGUUAUUACUUUGUUGUGCGUAUUCUAUCUUGUAACUUGUAUUCAGUAAUUAAUAUAUAUAAGAGUGCUUCUGUUGGAAUUCAGUUUGUUACAUAGUAUCUAAAUUUAUCCUCUGUUAUAUUUUGGGGCUAGCUAUUGAUGCCCUUGUCAUGAGUAGCAAAUCAUUCGACCUAACCGAUAUUUAAGGCUGAUGAAUUUAAGACAUGUAUACUUGGCCUAGUUAACAAUUCCUUCCCAUUUUUCAUUUCAUACCAAAAAAAGUAGCUAUUUAUUUUAUUGCAUAAUGACGGAUUUAACAAUACAUUAGUGACAUUAACAAUAAAACAAAAACACCCAAUUCAAAAUACUUUUUAUAUUAAUCAGAUUUUACAAGGACAAACAAGUUAUUCCAUCCGUCUAAAUCUAUAUGCCACCAUAAGAAUUUCGAAAUUCAAUCAUCUAAAUUUUAAUUAUAAAUUCAAACAUAGAAAUUUAAUCAAUAUUUUUUAAUCGACUCUCGAAAUUCCAAUGGUAUCCGUGAACAUAACGAAGGAGUAUUAGAAAUAGUGAAAUAUAAAGCUUACGUAAGAGACAUGAUGCAAGUCUUUUCACAUUCAAAUAUCCUACUAUUUGCCAAUAUACUAAUAAUUAGCCUGUUCACCUUCUCAUAUACUCUUCACAUUUCUCAAUGCAAGUAAAGCCAAGCCCCUUUUGUUUCACUAUUUCAACUUUCAUAGAAGAAGAAGAGUGUAAAGCCAUGAGUCCAACAACUAGAGCUAAGAAAAUUAAACUAGAAGAAGAUAAAGAAUUAAGUAGAAUAAAUGAUUUGUCACAAAGGCUAAAAAAUCUUGAAGCUUUUAAUGAGAUCAAUGACUUUACUAAUCAGCCUGAUUCACUUCGUCGUAGUGUUCGAUUACAAUACUCUCUUAUUAGAACCAUUGUUGAUGGUAUUUGUAAUUUUUUUUUACACUUUUUAUGCCAUUGAUUUACCUACAAUUGUUUUUAUUUUUUUUUGUUUUUUGGGGUUUUCUUGAAAUGCAGAGACAAGAUGUGAACUUGGAGCUGCAGGAUCAAAUAAGUUCAACAUUGUGUUGAAUAGUGUUCAGGACUUGUAUCUCAAUGGUAUAUUUUAUUAGCUUUCUUAUAUAUGUUUGUGAACGGGAGCUUUGGCGUAACUAGUAAAGUUGUUGCUAUGUGAAUCAUGAGUUUGAGCUGUAGAAAAAACCUCUUGUAAGGUUAGGUACAAUAGACCCUUGUGGUUUGGCCCUUCUCCUGGUCUGUGCAUAGCGGGAGCUUAGUGCAAUGGACUGACCUUUUAUGUAUGUGUGUGUAUUCAUGUACUUUUGACGUCCUAAUUUAUGUGAUGCACUUUGAUUCGGACAUGAAGUUUAAGAAAGAAAGAUUUUUUUUCUUAGAACUUUUGGUUUAGGAACAAGCCAUUGAUAUUUGGAAUUUUAAAGUUAAAUUCUUUCUAAACUAUAUUGAAAGAAGUUGGUUUUCUUGAGACAAAGUAAAAAAAGAAAGUGCGUCAUGUGAAUUUGGAAAGAGGGAAGGAAAGUGGUCUUUUAUGUGUUUGGAUACCUCCUCUAUGCUUCUUUCUUGUGGCAUAAUUUAGAAAGGGGUAUCACCUGACAUUGCUUUGCGAAAAGUGUUUUUCCAUGUAUGUAUAUGUAAAGAACAAUGCGGAUAUAUGAAAUAGGUGAUCUCGUCUCAUUUUCAUUAUCCUACUCUCGAUGUUGUUCCAAAAUAGGCUACGAUUUCUGUUCUUCGAUAAGGUACAAUUUUUGGUUUGUUGCUUGAAGUACUACUCUCCAAGGUGUGCUCAACUUUACUCUUGACUCACUAAGCUAUAAAUGUGAUUUCAUAAUGUGUUAUCUCAAUAUCAAUGGCCACGUGAAGUUGCUGCAACAAAUUGUUAUGUAUUUUCCCCUGCUUCUCUCUCUUGGUAUACUUUAUAAUGUAUGGUUUUCCAGUUAAGAGGCCAAGAGAGCAAGUGGCGGAUGCAGAGGCCUUGCUCGGACUUACCAAUACUGUUGUGGAAUCUCUCCAAUUACGUCCCAAUUGUAGUAUCUCACCUUCUAUAUUCAUCUCUUGGUUGCUUCAAGUCUAUGGUUUACGAAAAGGACGUUCAAAGAAUGCAAUGGAACAUUUCAUCAUUGGGAAGUCACUAAAAACUGUGAAUUGGGAAAAGAUUGGAGCUGAUGCUUCACUCGUGUUUAUGGAAGGCAAAGGUUGCAAGACAAUGUAAGAUUUUCAUUUCUUUACUAAUGAAUUUGAACAGAACAAAGAAAAAUAAUGUAAUUAUGUUUAAUCUGUUGAGUGCUUUCGGCUCGUUCUCAGGCUUGGAGUUCUGAAAACUGAAUUUAAGCCAACGAAGCAGCUUGUAGUUUAUCAUUCUUAUCCAAAAGAGAUUGUGGUUUACAGGAGAUUGCCUCCGAGAAAGGUCUACCUUACUCGGCCAAAAUUGGUAUGGUCAUUUCCCCUAUGCAAUCUUUUGAGAUUGCAGCUUCCAUAUGCAUUUUGAAGAAAACUAAAGCCGAGGCCAUCGAUUGUGUUUGCCACUCUUUUUACGUUGUUUGGUUGAUAAAUGAUCUUCCAUUUUCCGAGUCUUUUUUAUAGGUUGCUGGUGAAACUGUCAAGGACAAACCUGAUGUUAGCAAGAAUAUGUCAAACAUAUCGGAGCUCUUAAAGGAGAAGAAAAGUGUCAUGCUUGACGAACUCUUUCUAAUGAGAAAUUCCUUUGCUCAUACCGUCGAGAAUUUGUUUGCACUUUCUUUUUUAGUACACGAUGGGCAGGCUUCAAUCUCUGCUGAUGAAACUGGUUCUCGUUUCGCUUGCAAGAUAGGUAAAUUCACUCUGCCAUUCUGGAUGAGAUAUUCUACUAUGACAUUAAAACUAAAAGCAUAUCACGAGUUAUUUCACGUAUAUGAUCAUUGAACUUUAUUCUAUCUGUUCGCUUGUACCUUUCUGCUUUUAUUCCUUUCUGAAUUGUAAUAUGAUGAAUCACUUCUCCAGUUCCGCGGAGCAUUACACAUCGUGGAGCUGUACGCCACCAGUUUAUCCUGAGAUAUGAUUACUGUUAAAGAAUGACAAAAGUCCCACAUCGGUGAUUAAUGAGAUGAGUGGACUCCUUAUAAGGCUUGGGCAAUCCUCCUCCCUUUGAGCUAGCUUUUGGGGUGUGAGUUAGGCCUAAGACCUAAUUUAACAUGGUAUCAGAGCAGGGCCCGUCUCACCCGAUGUUGGGACCCCCAAAAUCAAAAUUGCCCAUGCGCCAGAUGCUAAGCACUGGGCGUGACACUGGACGUGAGGUGGGGUGUUAAAGAAUGACAAAAGUCCCACAUCGGUGAUUAAUGAGAUGAGUGGACUCCUUAUAAGGCUUGGGCAAUCCUCCUCCCUUUGAGCUAGCUUUUGGGGUGUGAGUUAGGCCUAAGACCUAAUUUAACAAUUACAAUGAUUGGAAGGUAUUGUAACGUUAAUAUAGUGUCAAGUAUUUGAAUUCGGAAUAUUCAUUAGUAUCAUUUUUUGUAUUUUUUGUUGUACUCUCCUUCCUUCACUUGGAUGCUUAUGUUGACCAUGUUAAACUGUCUGCAGCUGAUGCAAACUUUAGUACCAGAAGGAGCAGAGCUAACGCCAAAUAGGGAAUGAAGGCUCGUUCUGAUAUGCUUCACCUCUAACUAUAUGACUGAAAGGAACAACUGCUAUGGAGUAGAUGUCACGAGCUGUCGUUUUGUACAAUAUCUGGCUGUGAGGUGAAGCGAUACAUGAAACGAUCUGCACAUGAAGUAGGUAAAAUGGCGUGUUUUUUGUAUAUUAUCAGCUCUGGAAACUGGUCAAUAUAUCUUUUGCGUAAAUAGUAUGAUUACAUGUCUAUGUACUAAGCUGAUCCAUCUCUCUUCUGGGAAAAUGCCCUGUUUAUAAGUAAAUCAUUUUAAGCUGUGCAAGCUGAUAUAUUACUAUAAGUUCUGUAAGGUGAUAUGCCUAUUAAUUACGAUAGUCUUUCAUGACUGAAUUCUCCUAGAAAAAUACUCGGUAACCUUGAGAAAUUAACGCUAACUGGCACUCAAAGUUUUGGCCUAGCGGUCAAUGAUGUAGGUCGAGAAUCAUGAGAUUUCAGGUUUUGUUCAAACUCUAUUAAUUAAGAUAUAUUCUGCUUCGAGAAUUGAGCAAUAUACUUAAACCUCUACAAGGUAACAAAACAAACGAACUAUCGUUGAGAAUCAUGAGAUCUCAGGAUCAUAUUGUAUAUCUCUCAAUAAGCAAAACGAUGAGAUAAAAUUCUACGUCUUCAUGAGCUAAUCUUAGAGAGAUGAGAAAAUUGGAACAGUUGGUAAGGUAGCUCCAGCAUCAACAAUGAAAACAUUGCCAGCUACAUAUUCUGAGGAAUCAUGGAUUAAGUACCGAACGACUGAUGUUAAUGCCGGAUCUGUUGUUCCAAGAGUUCUUAGAGGAAUGGUUCUUAAAGUAACAUUAUUGAACCAUUCUUUUUCCAUAAGACUCUUUGUUAUCGCCAUAAUCUGAUAUUGUCUACUCCCAAUUCAAGUGCCAUAAUCUGCCAUUCAAUUAUUAGUUAUGUUACCAUAACAUAGAAGAAAACAAUGGAAAACAAAGAUACUAACUAGCUAGCUACCUUAGUGACCAUGUUAAGAGCUAUCUUCGAAGAAGCGUAAGCAAGAAACCCCGGUAAUUGUCCUUGAUUCAGACCAAGAACUGAAGAGAUGUUAAUAACAGAUCCUCCGCCCUGUUUAGCAUCACGCAUAUGUCUACAUAUAUAUUUUGACACCAACCAUGCCCCUCUGAGAUUCGUCUUGAAGGUAUGUUCCCACUUCUCCUCUGACAAUUCCAAUGAAGAACUUACACUACCUAUACAAAGUACUAUAUCAGAUUAACCAUGUAUAAUUAUUUGUUUUUGCCCUAUUUACACAGUAUAAUUUUUCGAUGAAGGAGAUUCAAUUGAAUUAAGCUGGCAAUGUAUGUUCAAUUAUAUACCUAUAAUGCCUGCAUUGUUAACCAAGGCAUCAAUGUGUCCGAAUUCGUCCCAAGCUAACUUUACAGCAGCUGCAAUAGUAGCACCAUCAGCAGUGAUGUCGAGCUGGAUGGCGACUGCACGCUUGGCCGGGCUGUCCAAAUUAUUAAUCUCAUGGCAUAGAGAUGUCAGCCUGUCAACACGACGGGCUGCAGCAAUGAUCCUGCAGCCGGCUUUCGCCAAGUUGAGACAGAACUCUAGCCCGAUUCCCGGAUGACGCCCCUGUCACCAUCACUACUUUUGCACUCAGGUUUGUCCAUGGCUCCAUUUAACUUAGGUAUGUCUGGAGUUAGUGUAAUGUGAUAAUGCAGAGAUUUAUAACAGAUUGAAUUAAAAGGAGAAUAAAUUCAUAUAAAAGGGAUUUACUAACUUUUUUGAAUAAACAUAAUAUUGCAUGUGGGAUAUAAGGAUAAGACCACUGAACAAAGUUAUAGUAAUGAAAAAAAAAAUGGAAUCUAAAGUACAUGAAUAAUAGUGCAUAUGCAGAGGUCUGUUCACCUCUUGCAUAAAAUUACAAAAGAGUGACAAUUUCAAAGUCCCUUUUUGCAAUUGGUGACACCAAGAAGGCCAUCCUUCCUGCUUUCAACGAUCUCUCAUUCGCUCAUUCGGUAUCUGUGUGGAUACAUUAGGUUGAAUCCAUAAGGAUGAACAUCCUAGUGUUGCUGAUGGAAGAUUAUUGUAAGCUUAAUGUUAUCAUUUUCCCCCCUUAUGAUAGUGGUAUCCGAGCUAGCGUAUAUGCAUCUCAACUAAUUCCACAGGGUACCUACUACCUCCCACUAGUACAAGUACCAAGUAAUUUUGUACAUCGUGGCUUGGGCAAAUGAGAAGGAAUAACCUCUGGAAUAUGAACUUGAGACCUCAUGGUAGCUUAAUGUAAUCACUAUGGAAGGCUUUAGAUGAAAUCUAAAGCAUGGACAAUACAGCUGAUGCUUCACUCGUGUUUAUGAAAGGCAAAGGUUGCAACACAAUGUAAGAUUUUCAUUCAUUUAACAUGGAAGAAGAGAACAAAGAAAAUGUAAUUUUGUUUAAUUUGGUGAUUGCUUUCGGCUCGUUCUAAGAUUGCAGUUUCCUUAAUAUAAUUUCCUUGUAUGUUUUCAUAUUUUUAUUCCUGUGUCUAUUAUAAUAUGCUUGAAAUUACUAAAACGGAGAAAAUGAGAACAUGAUUCAAGUGUAGUUACUAAUCUUGUUUUUUCUAAAUGGAUGUGAAAAGAGCUAAAGCGACAAUUAAAAUGGGACAAAGGGAGUAAUACCUAUAGAAGUAUGUAUGAUCUCUUAGCUUUAUAAUAAGCAGCAUUAUUGGGAAUCUAGUAGCUCUUAGACAUAAUAAUGUUAAGACAGGCAAUAAACUACUCAGAAGUAAAUUGAAAAUUUAACAAGUCAAGUUAUAAUAACAAAUUAAUCCAUAAAAAUAGGAUAUGGUGGGUUAGGGAAAGGAUUUAAUUAUUUCAUGACAUAGAUGUAAGUUCAUGAGUCAUGAUCAGUACUGCAUGUGAUCAUCAAUAAUCAAACAAGUUGACAAAGUUUUAAUAAUGAAAAAACUGGAAUCUAAAGCACAUUACAACAACAAAAAGCGUGGCAAUAAAUUAUUCUUUUAGCGGCAAUAUUUAUUGCUGACAAACCAUUAGCCUCUCGUUCUCUAUUUCUAUAAAAGGGAGAGCAAGUGGGAGAGAGUAUACAACUUUCAUGUAAGGCUAAAAGAAGGUGUUGUUUCAAUCGAAAAAUAACUGUCUGAAACUUUGAAGCAAACUUAAUUGUUGCAGAAUCAGGACAAGAAUGGGAGCCAGUGGCAAUAUGUCUACUCCAACAACUAAAACUAACCAAAAGAGAAAUUCUCUCCAAAGAGUUCCAAUUUCAAAGCCCCCUUUUACAAUUGGUGACAUCAAGAAGGUCAUCCCUCUUCACUGUUUUCAACGAUCUCUCAUUCGAUCGUUCUCCUAUGUUGCUCGUGAUCUCCUACUAGUUUACAUCUUCUACUACAUUGCCACCACUUACUUCCACCUCCUUCCAUCCCCAUAUUGUUACCUAGCAUGGCCUACUUACUGGAUUGUUCAAGGUUGUGUUUGCACCGGAAUAUGGGUCAUUGCCCAUGAAUGUGGCCAUCAGGCCUUUAGUGAUUACCAGUGGAUAAAUGACACUGUCGGUUUUAUCUUCCACUCUGCACUUUUAACACCAUAUUUCUCAUGGAAAUAUAGUCAUCGUCGUCACCACUCCAACACUAAUUCCCUUGAGCAUGAUGAAGUCUACGUGCCCAGGCUUAAAUCCGAACUACGUUGGUUCUCCACAUAGUCGAACAAUCCACUAGGACGAAUUCUCCUACUUGUCGGCACCCUCACUCUCGGCUGGCCGUUGUACUUGGCCUUUAAUGCCUUAGGAAGACAUUAUGACCGCUUUGCAUGUCACUAUGAUCCAUAUGGACCGAUAUAUAAUGACCGUGAGAGGAUAUGGAUCUACAUUUCAGAUGCAGGUGUGAUCGCAACUACUUAUGUGUUGUAUUGCGUUGCUUGGGCACAAGGGCUAGCUUGGAUUGUAUGUAUUUAUGGGUUACCCCUCCUAAUUGUGAAUGGCAUCUUAAUAUUUAUGACUUUUUUGAACCACACUCACCCUUCAGUGCCACAUUACGAUUCAUCGGAGUGGGAUUGGUUAAGAGGAGCUCUAGCUACUAUAGACAGAGACUACGGUGUGCUAAAUAGGGUAUUCCACAAUGGUCCAAAUACUCAUGUUUUGCAUCAUCUAUUCUCAACCAUACCACAUUAUCACGCGAUGGAGGCAACCAAAGCUAUCAUGCCGUUACUAGGAGAAUACUACCAAUUUGAUGGUACCCCUGUUUAUACGGCAUUGUGGAGGGAGUCAAGGGAGUGCAUUUAUGUGGAGAAAGAUGAAGGACGUCAAGAUAAUGGUGUUUUUUGGUUUAAAAACAAGCUCUAAAAAAUGAAUACAAGAAUCUACUUACUUGAAGUAAUGUUUAUUUCGAUUGUAAUUUCCCAUCACUCCUUAAUGUACCUUGUAAUUCCGUCCCCCAUAAAAGGAAGAAAAAAAAAAAAACUUAUUUUGUCCAAUUUUAUGUUCAUUAUAUUAAUGACUGAUCCUGACAAGGCUAGAGUUAUUUAAGAAAGUAAGCACACAUUUAGAUCGAUCUGAUUGAACAAAAAAACAGACCAUAUGCUUAAAGCCUGAAGGUUCAAUGCACUUCUGUACUGUCCAUGUGCUAGCUUUAGAUUCCAUUUUUUCAUUAUUAAAAGGCUUAGUACUUACUUUCUGUUAAUUUGGUACUCAAACUAAUUCAGAUUCGUACCCAUUAAAGAAGGUAGUGAUCCUCCAUACUAGGAAUUUCUUAAUUUUCAAGGUUCGAACCCGAGACUUCUGGUUACUUUUGUUGGAAUAGAAUAUAGGGAUAAUACAUAUAUUGGACCUUAAACUUGGCUUCAAAUUUUAACUUUGACCUCCAACUUUCAUAGUGCACAAACANNNNNNNNNNNNNNNNNNNNNNNNNNNNNNNNNNNNNNNNNNNNNNNNNNNNNNNNNNNNNNNNNNNNNNNNNNNNNNNNNNNNNNNNNNNNNNNNNNNNNNNNNNNNNNNNNNNNNNNNNNNNNNNNNNNNNNNNNNNNNNNNNNNNNNNNNNNNNNNNNNNNNNNNNNNNNNNNNNNNNNNNNNNNNNNNNNNNNNNNNNNNNNNNNNNNNNNNNNNNNNNNNNNNNNNNNNNNNNNNNNNNNNNNNNNNNNNNNNNNNNNNNNNNNNNNNNNNNNNNNNNNNNNNNNNNNNNNNNNNNNNNNNNNNNNNNNNNNNNNNNNNNNNNNNNNNNNNNNNNNNNNNNNNNNNNNNNNNNNNNNNNNNNNNNNNNNNNNNNNNNNNNNNNNNNNNNNNNNNNNNNNNNNNNNNNNNNNNNNNNNNNNNNNNNNNNNNNNNNNNNNNNNNNNNNNNNNNNNNNNNNNNNNNNNNNNNNNNNNNNNNNNNNNNNNNNNNNNNNNNNNNNNNNNNNNNNNNNNNNNNNNNNNNNNNNNNNNNNNNNNNNNNNNNNNNNNNNNNNNNNNNNNNNNNNNNNNNNNNNNNNNNNNNNNNNNNNNNNNNNNNNNNNNNNNNNNNNNNNNNNNNNNNNNNNNNNNNNNNNNNNNNNNNNNNNNNNNNNNNNNNNNNNNNNNNNNNNNNNNNNNNNNNNNNNNNNNNNNNNNNNNNNNNNNNNNNNNNNNNNNNNNNNNNNNNNNNNNNNNNNNNNNNNNNNNNNNNNNNNNNNNNNNNNNNNNNNNNNNNNNAUGAGAAAUGUGGGGGUUCAGUGUAAAAUUUUAAAGCCAAGUUUAAGGUCCAAUAUAUGUAUUAUGCCUAGAAUAUAAGUAGGCUCUUCAUAAAUCUCACAAGACACAAAGAGAACAGAAGAGAGAGAUAGACUACUUAGCUAUUGCAUAAACCAACAACUGCCUCUCAAUCUUCUCUACCACAAGUGUUUUUCUAUGGAGCAAUGGAAAGACCUGACUGGAAAAGUAGUGAUGGUGACUGGGGCCUCCUCGGGAAUCGGGCUAGAGUUCUGUCUCGACUUGGCAAAAGCCGGCUGCAGGAUCAUUGCUUCCGCUCGUCGUGUUGACAGGCUGAAAACUCUCUGCAACCAGAUUAAUAUUAAUUCAGAGGGCCUGGCUCGGCGUUCAAUCGCUGUCCAGCUCGACAUCACUGCUGAUAGUGCUACUAUUGAGGCUGCUGUACAAAUAGCUUGGGAUGCCUUCGGACGUAUCGAUGUCUUGAUUAACAAUGCAGGCCUUAGAGGUAAUCUGAAAAUUUUAUUAUGUAAAUUAGUUGCUUAAAUUGUUACCAGGUUCAUUCUAACUUCUUUUUUUUUUUGGUUGUAUGUUAAUAUAUUUACAUAGGUAACGUGUACAAUUCAUUGGAUUUGCCAGAGGAGGAAUGGGAACAUAUCUAUAAGACGAAUCUAAGAGGGACAUGGUUGGUGUCAAAAUAUGUAUGCAGACAUAUGCGCGAUUCUAAACAGGACGGAGGCUCUGUUAUUAAUAUCUCUUCAAUUUCUGGUUUAAAUCGAGUACUAAUACCUGGGGGUCUUGCUUACGCUUCUUCGAAGAUGGCUCUUGACAUGGUCACUAAGGUAGCUAAGAUAGCUAGAGAUUUAUUUUUAUUUUUCCAAUUUUUUCUUCUAUGCUAUGGUAACAUAAUUAAUAAUUGAAUGGCAGAUGAUGGCCCUUGAGUUGGGAGUAGACAAUAUCAGAGUGAACUCAAUAUCACCAGGAAUUUUCAAAUCAGAGAUAACAAAGAGUCUUAUGGAAAAAGAAUGGUUCAAUAAUGUUACUGUAAGAACCAUUCCUCUGAGAACUCUUGGAACGACAGAUCCGGCUUUAACAUCAACCGUUAGGUACUUAAUCCAUGAUUCCUCAGAAUAUAUAUCAGGCAAUGUUUUCAUCGUCGAUGCUGGAACAACCUUAACAGGUGUUCCAAUUUUCUCGUCGCUCUAAUUAAAUUAGCUAGCUCAUGAAGCUAUGAAAACGUUGAAUCUCAUAAUUUGUCGACAUGAUGUAUUUCUUUUUGUACAAUUCUCAAAGUGAAAUGUAUCUUAAGACUGUUAAAAUAAGUUCCAUAUUGGUUGAGGGAAGUAUGGGUCAUAGCGUCUCUUUUCAUGAUUUCGGACAAUUUUUCCAUUUAUGAGUUGACUUAGAUCCAAUGGUCGUAUCUUCACAUAUGAUGUAAUGAACAAAUUCUCAGUAGAUACUCAUAGAUAUAUUCCAAUUACACAGUAGGUAAAGUAAAGGAUAGUAAGAACUAGAAAGAGAUAAGCCAAAGACGACUCAGAAAGGAGACAAAGGGAAUAUAGAUCCUUCCUAACAAUUGGCAUAAACCAUUCUUUCUCAUCCGUCGUCCUUUUAGCUAGUUGUCAAGUGGGCCUGAGUCCCAGAUCAACCUUUAUGAAAGCCUUCCAGUUUUAUUGCUUCUUCUUGGCCUAAUAACUAGUUGCGUUCAUGAUAUCAUAUCCAUGUAGGUAUCAACAUUGGGCCGAGACUAGGUCAUACCAGCAUCAGAGCCGAUUCAUGUUGCUGUGUUUCGUAAUGUUGAAACCCCCAUGUAAUAUUCUAGUUAUUAAAAUAUAAUCAUGAUUAUUCAAAUCAAAAGAUAUUGUACUACCAAUGCAAAUUUCAAGUUCAAACAAAAUCUUGAAUUUCCAAAAGAAAAAUGUGAUGCGGCAUUUUUUAGAGGCAAAAGACAUAUAUUGGUCUUUGAGUAUGCACAUCUAGAUACCCCGCGACUCACAUAAACUGAGACAAAGUGAGUAAUUAAUAUAGAUUACCUUAUCAUACACAUUAAAUCAAUAGAAUAUACUAAUAUAGAGAUUAGAAUCAUUUAUAUUAUACGUACUAGUUCUGGAACAGGUGCAACGCACGUGUAUACCAUGCUAAUUAGUAUAAAUACUUUUUAAAAUAUAAGUGUGAUAUGUGUAAAAUACAAGCUCGAAUCAAUGAAUGGUGAGCAUAUUCAACUUAUUAUCAUUGGAAGACACAUCAUACUAAAUAUUGUUAUCAAGUGAAUUUCAAAAAAAAUACUCAAACGACUUCAAAUAUGCAAUUAUUAUAAUAUAUCAAGUAUUCAACUUGAUAAUAGUUCUUGUUUUAAUAAGUCACAAUACAUAUGGUUGCAAAAUAUUUAAUGCCUUGAGGUUUCCACCUUCUUUUUAAGGAACAGUAGCCUCCACCUUUUAACAAACGCAUACAUAUCAAGAAGUUAUUGCAAAAUAUUUAAUGCCUUGAGGUUUCCACCUUCUUGUUAAGGAACAAUAGCCUCCACCUUUUAACAAACGCAUACAUAUCGAGAAGUUGUUGUCGAAUGAGAGUAGCGUUUUGUAAUAGUUGUAGAGAAAUUUGAUCCUCAUAUGUCUCCCUUAGGAUGGUUAGUAAAUCAUUAUCAAUUUCAUAGUGAACACCUACAAAAAUAUAUACUAUUUAUUUGUUAUAAACAUAAUCGUGUGAGUAUAUAAAUGACAUAUAUAUAUAAAUCAUAAUUACAUGUAUAUGUACCUUUUGUCUUCUUAGGCUCAUUCAAUAAUAUAAGUUUACCACCAUUCAUAUAAUUAAACAUCAAAUCAACAAAUCAAUUUUUUAUAAAACAAAAGCAUUUUCAUCAAAAUAAUAAUAAAAAAAAAGAACAAGGAAAAGUAUUACUUUACCAUAGUUAAAUUCAACUUCAACUGUUCAUAAAAUUAGAUACACACUGUAUGGGAUUAAGGUAUAAAUAGGAGAUAUUAGGAGAGGUGAAAAGACUUAUAGUAACUAAUUUGAAAUAUAAUAUUUAAUGUAAAAUUAUGUCCUUUUGGAUUCUUAAAUAUAGAACAUAAAUAAGAAAAAUAAAAAGAAAUCAAAAAGUAAAAAGUUUGUAACUGAUUUGACUAUAUUGUUUAAUGAGGAAUUAUGUCUUCUUGAUUUAUUAACGUGAAGAGAAUAUGAGCAGAUUUGGAUGAGUAGUGCAACUAUUUAAUAUUUAAAUACUUAAAUAUAUAAUAUUUUAAUUUAUCGUAGAUGCAAAAUGGUAAUUCAACUUUGAAGAUAGGACCUUACCAAGUUUUUAUCCAUUUAGAUUAGAUUAGAUUCAUAUUUUUUAUUAAAUGUCUUUGCAAUAAAAAAGUUUUUAUAUAUAUAGCACACCAACUUAAUACAUUAAUCAACGUCAGAAGUUCAAAAGUUUUAUCUACUCAUUGAUCAACGUAGAAAGCUCAAAAGUUUUACGAAGGUUGAAAUAUCAGAAUAUAACUUCUUAAUUAAUUCCCAAACAAACUUUCUAACUUAUUGGAAGAUGCACAUUUAUUAUAUUGUAUUUAUAUUUGAUAUGAUUGUUGUUUAGUAUUUUAAUUAAUUAAAUAUAAUAUUUUAAUUUAAUGAAAGGGUAAAAUGGUAAUUCAACUUUUGCACUUCGAACCUUCCCACUUUUAGUAUUAUACGUAUUAACCACGUUGGAAUUGAAAAUUGUAACCAAACAUUGAAUGCAAACUGACAAGAUUAGGGUUAUUUAAGAAAGUAAGUAGAGAUUUUGAUCUGAACAAAAGAUUAAUUCCAUAAUUGAGAAAGUAAAUUUAAAUAUUCUUUUGUGAUCUGUUAAGAGUAAUUAAUUUUUUAAAGAUAUAUGACUAAUCUUGUGGUGUCAUACAAUAGAAAAUUAAAGUAUUUAAUUAUCUCAAAAUCUGUACUUCGUUUCUUAAAAAAACUCUAGACUUUGCAAUUUUGUAAAGAAGGUAUGCAGAAAAUUUCUAUUUUUCGAAUUUACUCAAGUCUCUAUUGUUGCACAUUUCAGGAUUGAAAAAGCAGGACAGUGAUAUGUCGUCUGAUAAAAGAAAAAUCGAGUGUGGUCUGAUAACAACAAGGUCCUCCGAUCCUUUUCAACGAUCUCUUGUUCGUUCCUUCUCCUAUCUUGUUCAAGAUCUCAUCCUUGUCUCCGUCUUUUAUUAUAUAUAUAUUGCCACCGGCCACUUAAUUUUGUUACCUAGCAUGGCCUAUUUACUGGAUUGCUCAAGGUUCUGUUUUCACUGGAAUAUAAAUGACACUACUGAUUUUAUCCUCCACUCUGCACACUUAACACCAUGUUUCUCAUGGAAAUAUACUCAUCGUCGUCACCAAUCCAACACUAGUUCCCUUGAGCAUGAUGAAGUGUAUGUGCCCAGGCUUAAAUCCCAAGUAACGUGGCUCACCAAGUAUUUGAACAAAAAUCCACUACUAGGACGAGUAUUCGGACAUGCCACCACCCUCAAUCUUGGGUGGCCUUUGUACUUGAUCUUCAAUGCCUCUAGCAAACCUUAUCGUCGCUUUGCAAGUCACUAUCAUCCACAAUAUGGACCGAUUUAUAAUGAUUGUGAGAGGCUACAAAUCUAUAUAUAUAUUUCAGAUACAGGUGUGAGUACAACAACUUAUGUGUUGUAACGCGUUGCUUUGGCAAAAGGACUAACUUGGCUUGUAUGUGUCUAUGGAGUGCCCCUCCAAAUUAUGAACAUUUUCAUAGUGUUAAUAACUUUUUUGCACCACACUCACUCUUUAGUACCACAUUAUUAUUCGUCCAAGUGGGAUUAACUAAGAGGAGCUCUAGCUACGGUAGAUAGAUACUUUGGUGUACUAAAUAAGGUCUUCCACCACAUUACAGAUACUCAUGUUUUGCAUCAUCUAUUCUCAACGAUGUCACAUUACCAUGCACUCGAGGCAACCAAAGCUACCAAACCAGUACUAGGAAAUUACUACCAAUUUGAUAGUACCCUUGUUUAUAAGGAAGGUAUUAUGGAGGGAUUAUAAGGAGUGCAUCUAUGUGGAAAAGGAUGAAAGAUCAAAAGAUAGAGGUAUUGUUUGGUAUAAAAACAAGAUGAAUUAAAAAUCGAUUUGGUUAAAUGUUAAGCAUGAGUCACAAUACGUAUUUUGAAUUUAGGUGUUGUUUCCUAUCAUUUUAUUAUGUAUCGUUUUCAUAACGUAUUAUAUUUGUACUACAUAAUGUGGUUGAAAUACAGUGUUCUGAUAGACCAUAUUAUUUAUUUAUUGUCGUUGAAUCCCUCUUAAUUUGAAUUCAUUGUGUGACAUCCGUGUAGGUAUUAACAUUGGGUUGAAUACAGUGUUCUGAUAGACCAUAUUAUUUAUUUAUUGUCGUUGAAUCCCUCUUAAUUUGAAUUCAUUGUGUGACAUCCGUGUAGGUAUUAACAUUGGGUUGAGACUAGUGUUGGGACCGCGCGUACCACCACCCUAACUCCACAUUAGUAUUAUUUUGUCCACUUUGGGUCAAGUCCUCACGGAUUUGUUUUUGGGCACAUCCCAAAAGGCCUCAUACUAAUGGAGUUGGGUGAGCACUUAUAUAUUGGUACAUUUCUUCUUCUCCAUCCGAUGUGGGAUAGGUUUGUUACCCAACAACUAGUUCAUAACAGUAUCAGAGCCAGACCCACUGAUUCUUGUUACAGUAUUUCGUAAUGUUGAAACAUCUAUGUUAUGUUAUCCACACUCUAGUUUCAUGUCCUGAUCGAGUGUGUUUGGGAAAAAUAUGAAGUCCCACGCUAGUUAAGGGUAUGUGUUGUGGUCUCCUAACAAGGUUUUGUUAAGUGCAAAUUUAAUGUUUAUCUUCAAUAUAAUCAUAUGAUUAUAAAGAUCAAAAGAUAUUGUAUUACCUUUUUUUUUGUGUGUGUGCUUUAAUAUGACCCAUAGGGCCGAUUUUAUUAAUUACGCAUAGGAAGAAAACAUUUCAACACUGUCUGGCUGGCCCAGCAGUGGCCAACCACCAAAAUCUAAUCAAUAAACAACAGUAUGGGGACUCUACAAAUUAAACAACUAGAUAAAGUUAUAAUAAUGUCAAAUUUAUUAUCUUGAAUGUAGACUGGAUGGGUAAAGAUGACUUAGUAAUUAUUUCAUGACAGAUGUUGGUGAUCACAACACUGAGUUUCACCAUGGAAGUGAACUCAAUUCAGAUCUCAAAGAGAAUGGACAAAAGGUGAGGGACAAAGUCGGAUUAUCUCUCAUUUUUUAUUCUCUUUCCUGUUUCUUGAAAUCAUCUCAACCUUUGAUCACAAUCAGAUCUUAUUUUCAUCAAACUCAUCUUGAUCGUUCAUUUCGGAAUCAUGACAGCUGUCCAAAGAACAUUUCAGAUGUAUUCCAUUAUAUAUGUAGAUAAUUGUUUUUUAUUUAUUUUUAUACAUUUUACAAUUAGUCAAUUAGAGAGAAACAAAAAUAAGAGAAGGACAACUGGUAGUAUAGUAACAGAUUUAUUCCUUUUGUUUUGUAUAAAUGCACAUGUACAGUUUGAAUGAAAUUUUUCUCUAUUGCUUUCUUUCUCUUCCAAUAAUAUGUAACAAAUAUGGAAUCUGUACCUACUUUCUUCAAUAAACUCUAGACUAGAAAAUUUUGUAAAAAAGUAUUUUCCUAAAGAAAGUUUCAAUUUUAUAUCAAGUUGUUGAAGUAGUAGUUGAAAAAGCAGGACAACAAUAUGUCGUCUGAUAAAACAGAACAGAAGAAAAAUGGAGUGUCGUUUUCAAAGCCUCCUUUUACAAUUGGCGAUAUCAAGAAGGUCAUUCCUCCUCACUGCUUUCAGCGAUCUCUUGUUCGUUCCUUCUCAUAUCUUGUUCAAGAUUUCAUCAUUGUCUCCGUAUUUUAUUAUAUUGCCACCACUUACUUCCACCCCCUUACGUCUCCGUGUUGUUACCUAGCAUGGCCUAUUUACUGGAUAGCUCAAGGUUGUGUUUUAACUGGAAUAUGGAUGAUUGGCCAUGAAUUAGGCCACCAGGCCUUCAGUGAUUACCCCUGGAUAAAUGACACUAUUGGUCUUAUCCUCCACUCUGCACUUUUAACACCAUACUUCUCAUGGAAAUAUACUCAUCGUCGUCACCACUCCAACACUAGUUCCCUUGAGUAUGAUGAAGUUUAUGUGCCAAGGCUAAAAUCCCAAGUAACAUGGCUCACCAAGUAUUUGAACAAAAAUCCACUAGGACGAGUAUUCGGACUUGCCACCACCCUCAAUCUUGGGUGGCCUUUGUACUUGACCUUCAAUGCCUCUGGCAGACCUUAUCCUCGCUUUGCAAGUCACUAUCAUCCAC
Molecule: long non-coding RNA, 24507 nt
Filed under: Solanum tuberosum (potato)
Lineage: Eukaryota; Viridiplantae; Streptophyta; Magnoliopsida; Solanales; Solanaceae
Description: long non-coding RNA (STUB_LNC011956)
Source: RNAcentral